RNAcentral lists this ribosomal RNA (468 nucleotides) under uncultured bacterium. RNAcentral describes it as "partial 16S ribosomal RNA". It matches the Rfam family "Bacterial small subunit ribosomal RNA", at positions 28 to 507 of the family's 1533-position model. The record is from RNAcentral.
GACGAACGCUGGCGGCGUGCUUAACACAUGCAAGUCGAACGGAAAGGCCCUGCUUUUGUGGGGUGCUCGAGUGGCGAACGGGUGAGUAACACGUGAGUAACCUGCCCUUGACUUUGGGAUAACUUCAGGAAACUGGGGCUAAUACCGGAUAGGAGCUCCUGCUGCAUGGUGGUGGUUGGAAAGUUUCGGCGGUUGGGGCUGGACUCGCGGCUUAUCAGCUUGUUGGUGGGGUAGUGGCUUACCAAGGCUUUGACGGGUAGCCGGCCUGAGAGGGUGACCGGCCACAUUGGGACUGAGAUACGGCCCAGACUCCUACGGGAGGCAGCAGUGGGGAAUAUUGCACAAUGGGCGGAAGCCUGAUGCAGCAGCGCCGCGUGCGGGAUGACGGCCUUCGGGUUGUAAACCGCUUUCGCCUGUGACGAAGCGUGAGUGACGGUAAUGGGUAAAGAAGCACCGGCUAACUACGUG